Molecule: ribosomal RNA, 254 nt
Filed under: uncultured bacterium
Lineage: Bacteria
Description: partial 16S ribosomal RNA
Rfam family: Bacterial small subunit ribosomal RNA
Source: RNAcentral
UACGGAGGGUGCAAGCGUUGUCCGGAUUUAUUGGGUUUAAAGGGUGCGUAGGUGGGUCUUUAAGUCUGGUUUGAAAGCCGGCGGCUUAACCGUCGGAUGUGGCUGGAAACUGGAGGUCUUGAAUGGGCUGGCGGCUGCCGGAACGGGUCAUGUAGCGGUGAAAUGCAUAGAUAUGACCCAGAACACCGAUUGCGAAGGCAGGCAGCUACGGCCAUUAUUGACACUGAGGCACGAGAGCAUGGGUAGCGAACAGG